This 615-nucleotide ribosomal RNA is filed under the name uncultured bacterium. RNAcentral describes it as "bacterial SSU rRNA". It matches the Rfam family "Bacterial small subunit ribosomal RNA", at positions 829 to 1443 of the family's 1533-position model. The record is from RNAcentral.
CACCCGUGGUUUNUGCGCCGUGGCUAACGCUUUAAGUGCCCCGCCUGGGGAGUACGGCCGCAAGGCUAAAACUCAAAGGAAUUGACGGGGGCCCGCACAAGCGGCGGAGCAUGCGGAUUAAUUCGAUGCAACGCGAAGAACCUUACCAAGGCUUGACAUGCACGGCGGCACUGCAGAGAUGUGGUGGCAUUUAGUUGGUCGUGUGCAGGUGGUGCAUGGUUGUCGUCAGCUCGUGUCGUGAGAUGUUGGGUUAAGUCCCGCAACGAGCGCAACCCUUGCCCUAUGUUGCCAGCACGUGAUGGUGGGGACUCGUGGGGGACUGCCGGGGUUAACUCGGAGGAAGGUGGGGAUGACGUCAAAUCAUCAUGCCCCUUAUGUCUUGGGCUUCACGCAUGCUACAAUGGUUGGUACAGAGGGUUGCGAUAUCGUGAGGUGGAGCGAAUCCCUUAAAGCCAGUCUCAGUUCGGAUUGGGGUCUGCAACUCGACCCCAUGAAGGUGGAGUCGCUAGUAAUCGCAGAUCAGCAACGCUGCGGUGAAUACGUUCUCGGGCCUUGCACACACCGCCCGUCACGUCACGAAAGUUGGUAACACCCGAAGCCCAUGGCCUAACCGGU